AUUGAACGCUGGCGGCAUGCCUUACACAUGCAAGUCGAACGGUAACGCGGGGCAACCUGGCGACGAGUGGCGAACGGGUGAGUAAAGCAUCGGAACGUGCCCAGUAGUGGGGGAUAGCCCGGCGAAAGCCGGAUUAAUACCGCAUACGACCUACGGGUGAAAGGGGGGAGUCGCAAGACCUCUCGCUAUUGGAGCGGCCGAUGUCAGAUUAGGUAGUUGGUGGGGUAAAGGCCUACCAAGCCGACGAUCUGUAGCUGGUCUGAGAGGAUGAUCAGUCACACUGGAACUGAGACACGGUCCAGACUCCUACGGGAGGCAGCAGUGGGGAAUAUUGGACAAUGGGCGCAAGCCUGAUCCAGCCAUGCCGCGUGUGUGAAGAAGGCCCUUGGGUUGUAAAGCACUUUCAGUGGGGAGAAAGGUACUGGAACCUAAUACGUUUUGGUAAUUGAUGUUACCCACAGAAGAAGCACCGGCUAACUCCGUGCCAGCAGCCGCGGUAA
RNAcentral lists this ribosomal RNA (500 nucleotides) under uncultured bacterium. Its description in RNAcentral is "bacterial SSU rRNA". It matches the Rfam family "Bacterial small subunit ribosomal RNA", at positions 30 to 523 of the family's 1533-position model. The record is from RNAcentral.